Long non-coding RNA from Mastomys coucha (southern multimammate mouse), 363 nucleotides. RefSeq lists it as uncharacterized. The record is from RefSeq and is a predicted model, not a curated record. NCBI's taxonomy places the organism in Eukaryota, Metazoa, Chordata, Mammalia, Rodentia, Muridae. The transcript has 2 exons.
GUUCAACUCUGAUGGCAUCAUCAUCAUUGUAUUGCUGUGAUCUGAGGAAGAUUUAUGGAUGUUAAAGAUCCUGCAGAUGGAGCUGGAGCUGGAAGAGAAGGAGGAUAUAAUCUCCAGACAGCCUCUUCUGAGCAGAAUGACCAGCAUACGCUAUCUUCUGAGGGAACCUUUGCUGAUCAUACAUGAAAAUGGACUCUGAGGCUUCAUCCCAGCAAAUGAGAAGAGGAAGUUGGAGAUAAGAUAGCCAGAGAUAGCAAGAUCACACAGCUAGGAAUUGGUGUGGCUGGCUUUCCACUACAUAGGUACAGAACUGGGCUCUGAAAAACAACUGUGUGAGAUAAAAUCUUAUAUGCUCCAAGCCUA